This is an RNA transcript of Solenopsis invicta (red fire ant), 3585 nucleotides long. RefSeq lists it as uncharacterized. NCBI's taxonomy places the organism in Eukaryota, Metazoa, Arthropoda, Insecta, Hymenoptera, Formicidae. The transcript is spliced from 2 exons. The record is from RefSeq and is a predicted model, not a curated record.
CGCCGCCACCGAGCGACGCAGUGCCGUCGGGACGCUCGACCGAAUGAUACGGCCUUCGCAAAGGGGUAUUUUUCGCCGGCCGCCAUAUCUCGCUCGGCAAUCCGCUUGACUACCGCACCGAGAAGCAGCCAGGAAGAGAAAGAGAGACAAAGAUAAAUAGAGAGAGAGAGAGAGAGAGAGAGAGAGAGAGAGGGAGCAGCAAGAAGAGCAGUACUAACCCUGAGAAAGAGAAGGAAGACAUCGGAGAGAAAUCAGCCCACCGGCCGGGGAUAUUGUCCUGUCACAGCAGUACGCCUUUAAAGAGUUACUGGUGUGAUGGGACAUUGUCCUCGUCCUGGUGAUCCACUUCCAACCGUGUCGUCGUCGUCGUCAUCGUCGUCGUCGUCGUCACCAUCGAGACUCGUCGAAACAUACAGAAUGUGGAAAGUGUAUUAUCGGUUAUAAGUCGAAUUGGUGUCGCGCGCUUUCGCUAGACGUUUCUCGCGAUCGAGAAGGGGACGACGGAGGGUGAAAAAACUAGUGGGGAUUUUUUAUGUUUGCGGUGAAUCUUUGCGAACGGAAACGAGAAGGAAACGCCCGAACGCGACUAGACUAUUGUGCCACGUCGACACCGACAUCCCAGAUAGGCCUGGACAAGACCAUAGGGUUUUUAACUCUCGUUAAUUAUUACAUCGUUCUCGAUACUCGUCAGCGUGGACACACCAUGGUACAGCGAUGGUGUUUCCAGUCGAUAAGGCAGCUUCCGAGAGGCGCGGCUGCUCGCUACCCUGGUCGAUUCAAGGACUCGUUCUCGUUGUCUUUCUCGCAGUCAACAGUUCUUUUUUCGUCUCUCUUUUUUUUUUAAUGUAGCAAACACGGAAUUAUUUUAGAAGGUGAUGACAAUCGUUUUCGCACAAUUAGUUUGUCCUACAGGAAGACCAUUCGAAUCGCCAAGGAUCACGAAAUCACGGCGAAUGAUAAAGGCGUUCCGUUAUCGGGACGCAUCUACGUUGUGCCUAUAGCCCGCAAAAUGGCCGGAGCGCGUCCGUGGAUAUUCCUGCGCGUUAUCGUCGCGCAGUGACCUCUCGUCGAGGAAUAACAUCGCGUGUCGUUCGUAUUAAUCCGGAAAAUGCGAAUCCGGUUUGCGACCGGUCGCCGCCCGGAUACGCUCCGGAAAUUCUCUCGUUCAUCAUCGAUCGCGUGAUGGGUUACCCGAUCGAAACUCGGAACCGAAAGAAGGUCGUAGGUUGUAACAUAGUUUCGGUGGAGGUCGGAUGUGUCUACUCGUCACUCGUGCAAGAUCGAUACUCGAAUAGGCAGAAGAUUCGCGAAGGGCAAGUUUCGCUCCGGCCGGCUGAUUUCGCGUGAAACCGCGAAAAAAUUGACUGAAACGGUCAAUUGACCGAGUCAAUCCAAGAAAUGCGAUGAAAUUCGAAGAUUCAUCGAGAGAUUUAUUUUUACGAUCGUCAUUUGAUACUCUUCGUGACGUGUGCUUCGAUCCUUCGCGCUGUCAAGUAAUCAAAGAUUAAAAGGCUGCGGCGCGGCCAUAGUUUAUUUAUCCUCUUCUAUUAAUCCCCCGCACCUACAAUAACCGCGCCACGGCCAUUUACUGAGUAAUGAAUCGGCCCUGUUUCCGUUUACGACUUAGCACACGAAAUUGGAGCGACGCUACAAAGGGGUGGCGAACAACGGGGUCGAUGAAAAGGUUAACGCUAGGUUGAGGUCGAUCGUAAGCCUUCUGUCACUACUCUCUUUUCCCUCUUUCUCUGUUUAUUAUCUCCUACCCUUUUGCAAUUCCAACUUCGACGUGGAAGAAGUGGCCUUUGCUAAAUGCAGAUCUCGACUCGGUUAUCGUUUCAUCAAAAAUUCACAGUCUACCCAUUCUCAGAAAGUGAUCGCUUUGAUCGUAGUAUUACAAAAAAAAAGGAGAACAAAUCCGAGGAUCUCAUCAGACACUGUAAACAAUGAGCCUUGGUACAGGUUUCUGGUGAAACCGAAACGAUAAAACGGACUAUUUGUCCAUACUUGGGAUAAUACGUUUUAGUGUGGUAAUUUUUUUGUUAUUUUGGAAAAAUCAAAAAAUAGUUCUGUUGCCGAGCCAAAAACAUCAUUGCUAAUUUGAUCCGCAUUAUCUUUGAUCCAGUUUUUUUUCGACCGUAGGUGUUAGGCAAUAUUGGAUAUCGAUUUAUAUUUUUCACUAACUUAUAUUUAGAUUCGACCAAGUUUUAUUCUUCAAUUAUAGAUCCUACAAAAAUAUCGUUCCUCUAUAUAUUCGAUUGAACGAGAUUUCAGAGAAAGAAUAUUUUGUAAUCUAUCCGAUGAGAUUUCCAUCCGAGAUAAGAAGAGAAGUUUUGCAUGCAAACUUGAACAUUCACGCAAAUUGCUUCAGCUUCUUUCAUGAAAGUUCAACGAAGAAGAAAUUUUCUUCCACGGCCAUUGAUCUUGCUUCGUAUAAUCCGUAGUAUCGCCGUAUUCUUUGUACAAUAUUCUUAGAUUACGAUAAUUCAGAAACUGUAUUGCCGGAUGUGCAUCUGCAGCACUCUCAUCUUUUAUUCAGUACCUUCGAAGUGCAUCGUGUGUCUCGACGGCUACAAUCGACGGUGCACGAGCAAAGAUCGAGGAGUCGUGAGAUAAAGUCGGGGAUCUUGUCUUCAAUUUUAUCCCGUGACUCCCCGGAUGUUUGCCUCAGAAUGAAGAAUUCCAAAGCCAGUGCAUAUUCGGUAUAAUGAAACGUCGAGUCGGAAAAGAGAGAGACGAAUUUAUUUCAGAAGACAAAGACGCGUUCUCGCCCUCGAAUGACCGAACGAAUAGUGGCCGGACGCUAUUUCCUUUAGAGAUUUGAUUAGUUGUCGUAUUAACCGGGCGAGGCGUGUCGAAAGAGCAACAAGCCCUAUCAACAUGACUGCUCCGCGUCAGGCCACGUUGAUAAAACUACUGAGGUUGGAUUUCGCAUGGUUGCUAGUGGUGAUGCGGUGGUGGUCGUGUGUUCGUCGUGGAGGAUACAAGUGUGGGGAAUACGGACGGAAGACCGGUGGACGUUGGGGUGGGUUUGUCGUGCAACCCUCCCGAUCCCCGCGCAGGUGGCUCAGGGCACCGCCGUCAGGCGGCAGCACCGCCUCUGUCCGAGGAGGAACGCUCCUCGCAGCGGUGCCAGGAAGCGAAUUGCUGGCAUAGGGUUAUUCGCACAGGGUGAUCCACGGAUGUUCCUUGGCGAAGAACUUAACAUCGGGAGAAGAAAAAGGGGUUCGAGAUGCAGAGAGAAAGCUCGGUGUGCCUUAUCAUCGCGGAGGAACGUGGUCCAUGGAAAAAGAAAGGGAGAGAAGGGGAAAGGACUCGCCAUGUUUAAAUCCCUUUGAUAGAGUUCACCAAAUGGGAACCGGCUAUUCAUCUGGACAAUCGCUAUAGACUGAUGAGACACGAACCGAUGCUAGAUGCUGACGGUAACAAGACCCAUGAGAUUGGAAGCGAUCAUUAGGCGCGAGAAGAAAUGGAAGAAAUCGCGAAUUGAAUCGUUCCGAAUUUACUUGCAAUUAUUGUAGGACAUUGUAACAACAAUGGCAUUUAAUGAUGAUUCUUGAGUGAAUAAAAUGACAUUGAAAUCGUUAA